RNAcentral lists this ribosomal RNA (254 nucleotides) under uncultured prokaryote. RNAcentral's name for it is "partial 16S ribosomal RNA". It matches the Rfam family "Bacterial small subunit ribosomal RNA", at positions 524 to 776 of the family's 1533-position model. The record is from RNAcentral.
UACGUAGGGUGCGAGCGUUAAUCGGAAUUACUGGGCGUAAAGCGUGCGCAGGCGGUUCGCAAAGUCUGAUGUGAAAGCCCCGGGCUCAACCUGGGAACUGCAUUGGAAACUAACGGGCUCGAGUGUGGCAGAGGGGGGUGGAAUUCCACGUGUAGCAGUGAAAUGCGUAGAUAUUGGGAAGAACACCUGAGGCGAAGGCGGGUUGCUGGGCCGACACUGACGCUGAUAGCGCGAAAGCCAGGGGAGCGAACGGG